This 882-nucleotide ribosomal RNA is filed under the name Paraconiothyrium archidendri. RNAcentral's name for it is "partial large subunit ribosomal RNA". It matches the Rfam family "Eukaryotic large subunit ribosomal RNA", at positions 39 to 939 of the family's 3401-position model. Lineage: Eukaryota; Fungi; Ascomycota; Dothideomycetes; Pleosporales; Didymosphaeriaceae. The record is from RNAcentral.
UACAUUCAUAAGCGGAGGAAAAGAACCAACAGGGAUUGCCCUAGUAACGGCGAGUGAAGCGGCAACAGCUCAAAUUUGAAAUCUGGCUCUCUUUGGGGGUCCGAGUUGUAAUUUGCAGAGGAUGCUUUGGCAUUGGCGGCGGUCUAAGUUCCUUGGAACAGGACAUCGCAGAGGGUGAGAAUCCCGUACGUGGGCGCCUGCCUUUGCCGUGUAAAGCUCCUUCGACGAGUCGAGUUGUUUGGGAAUGCAGCUCUAAAUGGGAGGUAAAUUUCUUCUAAAGCUAAAUACCGGCCAGAGACCGAUAGCGCACAAGUAGAGUGAUCGAAAGAUGAAAAGUACUUUGGAAAGAGAGUCAAAAAGCACGUGAAAUUGUUGAAAGGGAAGCGCUUGCAGCCAGACUUGCCCGCAGUUGCUCACCUAGGCUUUGGCCUGGGGCACUCUUCUGCGGGCAGGCCAGCAUCAGUUUGGGCGGUUGGAUAAAGGCCUCUGUCACGUAUCUCCCUUCGGGGUGACCUUAUAGGGGAGGCGCAAUGCAACCAGCCCGGACUGAGGUCCGCGCAUCUGCUAGGAUGCUGGCGUAAUGGCUGUAAGCGGCCCGUCUUGAAACACGGACCAAGGAGUCUAACAUCUAUGCGAGUGUUUGGGUGUCAAGCCCGGGCGCGCAAUGAAAGUGAACGGAGGUGGGAACCCUUUGGGUGCACCAUCGACCGAUCCUGAUGUCUUCGGAUGGAUUUGAGUAAGAGCAUAGCUGUUGGGACCCGAAAGAUGGUGAACUAUGCUUGAAUAGGGUGAAGCCAGAGGAAACUCUGGUGGAGGCUCGCAGCGGUUCUGACGUGCAAAUCGAUCGUCAAAUUUGGGCAUAGGGGCGAAAGACUAAUCGAA